GUCUACAGCCACGCCACCCUGAACAAGCCAGAUCCCGUCUGAUCUCGGAAGCUAAGCAGGGUCGGGCCUGGUUAGUACUUGGAUGGGAGACCACCUAGGAAGACCAGGUGCUGUAGGCA
This 119-nucleotide ribosomal RNA is filed under the name Pteropus alecto (black flying fox). Lineage: Eukaryota; Metazoa; Chordata; Mammalia; Chiroptera; Pteropodidae. The record is from RNAcentral.